UAGCAGUGCGUCUGCCAGUCAGAAGUGAGCGUUGUGAGAGUCAGUGUGGAAGGUGUUAAGUGAACGUCAUGGUGGCCAGGUGUUUUAAUUAACGGUGCUACUUGUACAUUGUGGAUCUAUGUGUUAAAUAUUGGUGCUCGCAAUGGAAAUCCGGAAUUAUGUCGUUAGUGUGACAGGCCGAUGAAUGUCCAUCUAUCGUUGUAGAAUUACUACACAGUAAAAACUAUAAUGGGUGCAACAAUAGCCCACCCUGACUAGUCGUAGGAUGACUGGAUGAACAGACAAACACCUACAGUCAUAUUGGACGAUGUCUUGCUGUGAAGCCUGAAUCAACACGCCAUAACUGUGUCAACAAAUGAAAUAUGCCUCCUGCUCCUGUCCUUGAGCGUAACUUGUGGCGUGUUGCUGACCGAGGCGCAUAUUCUGACUGCCCACGGCUUCGGCUUUUCCUGAUCUGAGAUUGGACCAGGCUGAGCACUGUUAUAUAUGAAAAAGACAGCAUCACCCAGCACAGUAUCAGAUUGGUGCGACUCUUGGCUCGUACACGGCUCUCUUGGCCUGAUAGUCGGGUGUACACUUCACUACCAGGCUUAGGGAAACUGCACCAAGAAGCUGGGCAAAAUUGGAAGAAUUUUUACAAUGAAUCGUAGCAGAAAGUUGCAAAUGAGUUAUUUCACAUGCGAAAUAAUGAAAACAAUUUUGACAUUAAUGGUGCACAGCAACUUACGUGAAUUACAUCUAUUUUCAUAUAUCACAGUUGAUUAAGAUUCAAGCAUGGAAGGUACUCGUAAAUUUGUGGGCUGUAAAUAAUCAGAGGUAAGAGGAAGGUUGCAGUCCCUAGCAGUAGCGAGCUGACUUGUACUGCAUGAGAACUUAUCUUGUGAACGCUGUCUCUGUUCUUAUACUCUUAGCUGCGUCCUAAUUUCCUGUGCUAAAUAGUUUAUCUUCGGCGGCGCUGAAGUGGCUGUACAACCCAUUAUUUCUCUUGCUUGUUGUUUAGAGGGAGCGUCUAUGGAGAAGAAUCCCUGCGAUAGGCAAAGGUCUUUACGUCUAAUAGAGCACACUUCUCUUGUAUAUACCUUUUAAAACUUGUCUUAGUUUAUCAGUGGGUGAUUUCCGUUCACGUCCAGUUGCAGAGAGCAUGAACGAAAAAAGAUGCAGCCCAGUUUUAUGAUGCAAUAAUUACUGUUACAAUUACUUAUUAAUCUAAAUGUUGUUAAAAUUGCAUUUACUAAAAAUGAAAUUAAUUGCCUUCAGCUUCAAUUACAAUUACUCCAAGCCUCACAUGACAGCUUCUUCUCUAAUUGAAACACUGAAUUCUACCAUAGUCUUUUAUUUCCUUGUCGGUUUAACACCCUCUUCCCCACCCCUCAAUAAGUUCAUUAUAAGGUAAUAAAGAGGCAAGAAUAUACUAAAUAUUUUACUAAUUCAACUUUGUCAUUAA
This is a long non-coding RNA of Cherax quadricarinatus, 1444 nucleotides long. RefSeq lists it as uncharacterized. Lineage: Eukaryota; Metazoa; Arthropoda; Malacostraca; Decapoda; Parastacidae. The record is from RefSeq and is a predicted model, not a curated record.